AGUGAACGCUGGCGGCGUGCUUAAUACAUGCAAGUCGAACGAUGAAGUCCUAGCUUGCUAGGAUGGAUUAGUGGCGCACGGGUGAGUAAUAUAUAGUUAAUCUGCCUUGCACUGAGGAACAACAGUUGGAAACGAUUGCUAAUACCUCAUACUCCAACUUUACAUAAGUUAAGUUGGGAAAGUCUUUUCGGUGCAAGAUGAGACUAUAUCGUAUCAGCUAGUUGGUAAGGUAAUGGCUUACCAAGGCUAUGACGCGUAACUGGUCUGAGAGGAUGAUCAGUCACAUUGGAACUGAGACACGGUCCAAACUCCUACGGGAGGCAGCAGUAAGGAAGAUUGUGCAAUGGGGGAAACCCUGACGCAGCAACGCCGCGUGGAGGAUGACACUUUUCGGAGCGUAAACUCCUUUUGUUAGGGAAGAAUAAUGACGGUACCUAACGAAUAAGCACCGGCUAACUCCGUG
This 463-nucleotide ribosomal RNA is filed under the name uncultured bacterium. RNAcentral describes it as "partial 16S ribosomal RNA". It matches the Rfam family "Bacterial small subunit ribosomal RNA", at positions 29 to 507 of the family's 1533-position model. The record is from RNAcentral.